GAUCCUGACUGUGUGGACCAAACUCCGUCUGAACAUUGUAUUUUGAUGACGAUAAUAAAUGUCUACUGCCCUUGGUGUACUUAGAUAACUGGUAAACAAAUGGGUAGUAAAGACCUUUAUAAUGAGGGUGGGGACUCAUUUUCAAUCCAGAUAAAACUGUGUUCCAGAUGGAGCCUUUCAUUUUCUGAGGAUUUUAAGCCCCUGUCCUUACUGAGGGCUUUUGUUAUUCCAGGUGCAAUUGCUGGUAUAGUUGAUCAGCCGAUGCAGAACUUCCAGAAAACAUCUGAGGCACAGGCUUCAGCAGGACACAAGGCCAAGGGUGUCAUCUCGGGUGUGGGGAAAGGAAUCAUGGGGGUGUUCACAAAGCCCAUCGGAGGAGCUGCUGAGCUGGUGUCACAGACUGGCUAUGGUAUUUUACAUGGAGCUGGACUUUCUCAGCUUCCCAAACAGCGCCAUCAGCCAAGUGAUCUACAUGCUGACCAGGCUCCAAACAGCCAUGUCAAAUAUGUCUGGUAAAAUUAUUGAGAUACAUGCUCAACUUUACAUCCAUAUUGUAUGUUAAUAGCUCCUGGCUUGCUCUCAAGCUAAUGGGCCACGCUUCCAGGGAGCCCAGGAGUAGCCAUUGUUGGCACUGGCAUCUCAGGCAGCACAAGAGCACUGUAGAGGGACAGGAAGAGGCUGCUGUUGCCAGGUUUGGGGCUGGCUGCACAACUCCUCUGUUCCAUACCUAACCACUCAAGGAAGGUCAUACAUUGGCAGAGAAGCCCAGUCUUGCUAGAGGGCCUGAGAUUCCCUGUGGAACCAGCACUCUAAUUAGAGGUGCUAUUUCUAAUGGGGAGAAAAGGAGCUAAUAAGCAAAACCAAGGGAAAUCUUUGUUCCCAGGAGGAAGCAGGUUCUGUUAAUCAGAAUCAGUCUGAGAAUUGACAAUUACAUUUCAAGCUAAAAUGGGUAAUUGGAUUGGUGAGGGCCCUUUGCCCUUGGGGAGGUUGCCCCAUUGGUAAAUAAUGAGCACUGAUAAGUGACCAUCUUUUCACAGCUGGCCCCGGCCUCACUUUUCUCCUUUUAAACAGGAAAAUGCUUCAGUCUCUGGGCAGACCAGAAGUCCACAUGGCCCUGGACGUGGUUCUGGUGAGGGGCUCAGGCCAGGAGCAUGAAGGGUGCUUGCUGCUGACAUCAGAAGUGCUCUUCGUGGUGAGUGUCAGUGAGGACACACAGCAGCAGGCCUUCCCCGUCACAGAAAUCGACUGUGCACAGGACAGCAAGCAGAACAACUUACUCACAGUGCAGCUCAAGCAGCCAAGAGUGGCCUGUGAUGUGGAGGUAGAUGGAGUCCGAGAGAGACUGUCAGAGCAACAGUACAACAGACUUGUGGACUACAUCACAAAGACAUCUUGUCACCUGGCCCCCAGCUGUUCUUCCAUGCAAAUACCAUGCCCUGUGGUGGCUGCAGAACCUCCCCCCUCCACUGUUAAAACAUACCAUUAUUUGGUUGAUCCACAUUUUGCUCAGGUCUUCCUUAGUAAAUUUACCAUGGUGAAAAAUAAAGCCCUGAGGAAAGGGUUUCCUUGAGUCCCCUCUGAGGUGUUGUUUAUUCCUGCUUGUGUGAUUGAUUGAUUUAGUUUUUGGGUUUCUUUGAGACAGAGUCUCACUGCAUUGCCCUUGCUGACCUCAAAUUCUGGGGUUCAAGCAAUCCUCCCACCUCAACCCACAAGUAGCUAGGACUGCAAGCACCUGCCACCAUAAAGGGCUGCAUUUUUUUAAAAAGCCUAGGCAGCUCUAACAUCUGAUAUGGACACAAGGCCAACAGUUUCCUUAUUUACAUCCUUACCUCUAAAAGAUACUUCAAAGUGACAAAAACGUGUUCCUUCCCCGCUUAGAGACAAUGAUUAACAGGGCCCUAUAUGUUCUUACCACAUACAGAGGAUGCAUUUAUUUUUGCUCUAUGAUACUUGCAAAAAUCUCUACUGUAAUUAAUUUGGAUCUAUUAACUCUCUGUUCCAUCAUAGAAUGUGGCCAGGCCUUACAAUGGAGAGCCAGAGUUAAAACUUCAAGUUGCAUCUGUUUUUGGGCUGAGUCACCACCUUUGCCUCAUGCUCCUUUGUCUGCAAAGGCCUAGGAUUCUUUAAAUGAAAUGCUUAGGACUUUGUGGCUUGUUACAUUUGUCAUUUAACUGCAGUGCUAUUCUUUGAAAGCUGCUAUGUGUAUUUUCUCUGAAGUCUGCAUUUUACUAAAAUUUACAACAGUCUGAUUGAUUGAUUACUGUCCAGGUACAUUUUAGAAAAAGUGUUCUUCCAGUUUGUUUUACUAAGCAAACUUUGAGUAAAUCCCUUGUCCUAUAUUGAAUCCAGUCCCAAAGUGUUCAGGUGAGUUUCUCUAGUUCCGUAAACAAAACAUACAUAGUGGGAACUCCCUGGUAUGCCAUAGAGCACACAAGAACCCCAAUAUUAAUGCUAACAAUUAUACCAGUCCAUUUUGUUUAUUCUGUGGAAUUGACUUGACAAAGCAUGAAGAUAUUCCCAGUGUCCGUCUGAUAAUAUUUUGCAUCUAAGAAUGGGUUUGACUCAAGAUAUUGGGUUACCAAGAUGUCUUAAAUGUUCAGUAAAUAUCUUACAGUCCAGUAGCUUAGAACAUGUUUGCUGAUUGAUAUUACAUUUAAACUUGGGGCUACAGCUUGUUACCUAGAAUUUUGAGAUACUAAGAGAAUGCAAUUUUAAAUGCCCACUGGUUUUAUUUGUUUUGGAGAGAGGGUCUCAUUCUGUCACCCAGGCUAGAGUACAGUGGGAACAGUCAUGGCUCACUGCAGCUUAAGCUCACUGCCUGGGCUCAAGUGAUCUUACUCCAGCCCCCCAAGCAGCUGGGACUACACCACCACAGGUAUGCACCACCAUACCUGGCUGAUUUUUUAAAUUUUUUCUAGAGAUGAGGUCUCACUAUGUUGCCCAGGCUGGUCUCAUACUCCUCAGUUCAAGCAUUCCUCCCACCUCCACCUCCCAAACUGCUGGGAUUACAAGUGUGAGCCACCAUGCCCAACACCCACUGAUCUUUAACUCUCACAUGUUGGGCAUAAGAAGUCACUAUAUAAUUGUUACUGGAAAGCAAGACUUAACGAACAAUUCUGACUAUGAAAAAUGUCUCUUUCAGUUUGUUCUGUAAAUACUCAUUUAGAAAAGUGACAGCUGUCAACCUCAGAGUAACUAUUUCUAAAAAUGUAAAUAUGUAUUAAUCCUUGUAUCUUUUAUGGUAAUUUUGCAUAUUGAUAUGAAUUAUAUAAAAUUGUUUAAAAUAAAAGGUGUCCUUGAAUUACUGACCACCCAUAGAUGUCUAUUGUUACCAGGUUUUACAAUGCAAAUUUUCACUAAUACCUGGGUUUAAUACAGCUCACAUCACUGAAUGUUACACAUGAGUUUAAAUGGGUAAUAUACAGGUUUUGUUAUAAUAAAGUUACUGAUUAAAUUA
Molecule: small RNA, 3457 nt
Filed under: Pan troglodytes (chimpanzee)
Lineage: Eukaryota; Metazoa; Chordata; Mammalia; Primates; Hominidae
Description: retained intron
Source: RNAcentral